AUACGUAGGGGGCGAGCGUUGUCCGGAAUUAUUGGGCGUAAAGGGUUCGCAGGCGGUCUGAUAAGUCAGAUGUGAAAGGCAAUGGCUCAACCAUUGUAAGCAUUUGAAACUGUCAGACUUGAGUUAAGGAGAGGAAAGUGGAAUUCCUAGUGUAGCGGUGAAAUGCGUAGAUAUUAGGAGGAAUACCAGUGGCGAAGGCGACUUUCUGGACUUAUACUGACGCUGAGGAACGAAAGCGUGGGGAGCAAACAGGAUUAGAUACCCUGGUAGUCCACGCCGUAAACGAUGAGUGCUAGGUGUUGGGGGUCAAACCUCGGUGCCGCAGCUAACGCAUUAAGCACUCCGCCUGGGGAGUACGUACGCAAGUAUGAAACUUAAAGGAAUUGACGGGG
Molecule: ribosomal RNA, 392 nt
Filed under: uncultured bacterium
Lineage: Bacteria
Description: partial 16S ribosomal RNA
Rfam family: Bacterial small subunit ribosomal RNA
Source: RNAcentral